RNAcentral lists this ribosomal RNA (326 nucleotides) under uncultured eukaryote. RNAcentral's name for it is "partial 18S ribosomal RNA". It matches the Rfam family "Eukaryotic small subunit ribosomal RNA", at positions 1470 to 1796 of the family's 1831-position model. The record is from RNAcentral.
CCCUUAGAUGUUCUGGGCCGCACGCGCGCUACACUGAUGCAUUCAACAAGCCUAGCCUUGACCGAGAGGUCCGGGUAAUCUUUGAAACUGCAUCGCGAUGGGGCUAGAUUAUUGCAAUUAUUAAUCUUCAACGAGGAAUGCCUAGUAAGCGUGAUUCAUCAAAUCGCGUUGAUUACGUCCCUGCCCUUUGUACACACCGCCCGUCGCUCCUACCGAUUGAAUGUGUUGGUGAGGAGCUCGGAUUGGCAGCAGUUGGUGGUUCGCCACCGGCUAUUGCUGAGAAGUCCUCCAAACCGCCCCAUUUAGAGGAAGGAGAANUCGUANCA